This 402-nucleotide ribosomal RNA is filed under the name uncultured bacterium. RNAcentral describes it as "bacterial SSU rRNA". It matches the Rfam family "Bacterial small subunit ribosomal RNA", at positions 356 to 775 of the family's 1533-position model. The record is from RNAcentral.
GGGGAAUCUUGCGCAAUGGGGGAAACCCUGACGCAGCGACGCCGCGUGGAGGAUGAAGGCCUUCGGGUUGUAAACUCCUUUUCUCAGGGAAAAUGGUGAUGGUACCUGAGGAAUAAGCCACGGCUAACUCUGUGCCAGCAGCCGCGGUAAGACAGAGGUGGCGAGCGUUGUUCGGAAUUACUGGGCUUAAAGGGCGAGUAGGCGGUAAGGCAAGUCUGAGGUGGAAUCCUAUGGCUUAACCAUAGAACGGCCUCGGAAACUGCUUUACUUGAGUCAGUGAGGGGAGGGCGGAAUUCCUGGUGUAGCGGUGAAAUGCGUAGAUAUCAGGAGGAAGGCCUGUGGCGAAGGCGGCCCUCUGGCACUGUACUGACGCUGAGGCGCGAAAGCGUGGGGAGCAAACAG